UGGCUACAAAAUAACUUAUUCUGUGGCCACUUUAAGUUACGAUACUUAUUAUAUUAAUUUAGGAGAUUAUAGUAACUAUAUACUAAGUGGUUUAUUAUAACGUUAUGGUAAAUAUCUCUAUGUGUUAUAGUAACCCAACUAUUGUAAAUAUGUAUUGAUAUUAUCGUAAAUUAGUAUAUAAAAUUAUCGUAAAUGGAGGUGGCUACAGAACAACUUAUUUUGUAGCUG
Molecule: microRNA precursor, 228 nt
Filed under: Sorghum bicolor (sorghum)
Lineage: Eukaryota; Viridiplantae; Streptophyta; Magnoliopsida; Poales; Poaceae
Description: MIR6217 microRNA precursor family
Rfam family: MIR6217 microRNA precursor family
Source: Rfam by way of RNAcentral